AUCACCUGGGGAUCUUGUUAAAACACAAUCUGAUUCAUUAAGUCUGGGGUGAGGGUUGAGAUUCUGCAUUUCUAACAAGUUCUCGGGGGAUGC
RNAcentral lists this microRNA precursor (93 nucleotides) under Myotis lucifugus (little brown bat). RNAcentral's name for it is "miRNA (ENSMLUG00000028317.1)". Lineage: Eukaryota; Metazoa; Chordata; Mammalia; Chiroptera; Vespertilionidae. The record is from RNAcentral.